Molecule: long non-coding RNA, 787 nt
Filed under: Triticum aestivum (bread wheat)
Lineage: Eukaryota; Viridiplantae; Streptophyta; Magnoliopsida; Poales; Poaceae
Description: long non-coding RNA (TAES_LNC001655)
Source: RNAcentral
UGCAAUGUACUUUGGCCUCAUGGGUGAUGGCCAGCCUAUUGGUCGCUACGAUGACAUGUGGGCUGGAUGGUGCGUCAAGGUAUGUAUUUAUUUAACUGAACUACAACUGUAUUUACACUUCACUUAACUGAAGUAAUGAAAUCUUCUCAUCUCAAAAAAAGAAGGAACUGAAGUAAUGAAACUGAUACAACUGUGUAAACUUCAGGUCAUCUGCGACCACUUGAGCCUUGGAGUGAAGACUGGGCUGCCAUACCUGUGGCACAGCAAGGCUAGCAACCCAUUUGUCAACUUGAAGAAAGAGUACAAGGGCAUCUUCUGGCAGGAGGACAUCAUCCCCUUCUUCCAGAACGCCACCCUCUCCAAGGAGUGUGACACAGUCCAGAAGUGCUACAUCUCACUCUCGGAGCAGGUCAAGGAGAAGCUUGGCAAGAUUGACCCUUACUUCGUGAAGCUUGCUGAUGCCAUGGUCACCUGGAUCGAGGCCUGGGACGAGCUGAACCCAUCUGAUACCGUCGUUGCUGCUGGGAACGGCAAGGCAGCAGCCAUGUAGGCUGGCUGGGGAGCCAAGAAUGUAUGGUUGGGGCCUAGAUAUAGCUCUUUUUGAGAAAGAGAUUACUGAAGCAGCUUUUAUAUUUCUUUCAUGUUAUGCUGGUGGUUCUUUUGUAGCUGGACAAGGAUUUGUUAUCAUUUACAUAAUUCAAGACAAUAAUAUUUAUCAUGUAAUUUUGAGAAAUCAAGCACCGUUUGUUAUUAUCGUGAAAUCUUUUUCGUUGAGCAUCACUCAUUU